Diatrype stigma is the source of this 111-nucleotide non-coding RNA. The record is from the annotation of a GenBank genome assembly. Lineage: Eukaryota; Fungi; Ascomycota; Sordariomycetes; Xylariales; Diatrypaceae.
GGCCGCUUGGCCCAAUGGUAAGGCGUCUGACUACGAGCAUAUAACAGUUCCAAGGAGCAGUUGUAUCCACGAGUAAUCAGGAGAUUCUGGGUUCGAGCCCCAGGGUGGUCA